Molecule: ribosomal RNA, 462 nt
Filed under: uncultured bacterium
Lineage: Bacteria
Description: partial 16S ribosomal RNA
Rfam family: Bacterial small subunit ribosomal RNA
Source: RNAcentral
GACGAACGCUGGCGGCGUGCUUAACACAUGCAAGUCGAACGGAAAGGCCCUUCGGGGUACUCGAGUGGCGAACGGGUGAGUAACACGUGGGUGAUCUGCCCUGCACUUUGGGAUAAGCCUGGGAAACUGGGUCUAAUACCGAAUAGGACCACGCGCUUCAUGGUGUGUGGUGGAAAGCUUUUGCGGUGUGGGAUGGGCCCGCGGCCUAUCAGCUUGUUGGUGGGGUAAUGGCCUACCAAGGCGACGACGGGUAGCCGGCCUGAGAGGGUGACCGGCCACACUGGGACUGAGAUACGGCCCAGACUCCUACGGGAGGCAGCAGUGGGGAAUAUUGCACAAUGGGCGCAAGCCUGAUGCAGCGACGCCGCGUGAGGGAUGACGGCCUUCGGGUUGUAAACCUCUUUCGCCAGGGACGAAGCGUAAGUGACGGUACCUGGAGAAGAAGCACCGGCCAACUACGUG